Carassius gibelio (silver crucian carp) is the source of this 1405-nucleotide long non-coding RNA. RefSeq lists it as uncharacterized. NCBI's taxonomy places the organism in Eukaryota, Metazoa, Chordata, Actinopteri, Cypriniformes, Cyprinidae. The record is from RefSeq and is a predicted model, not a curated record. The transcript has 3 exons.
UUUCCUGUUAUUGCUGGAGUUGUACUACAGUAGAGCAAGGCUGAAGGGAGAUGAGGAAUGCUGAAGAGUAGCCUACUUUGGCCCCAGGCCACAGCUUUUAUCUCUCAGCCAUACCUGUUUUUCCAUACCAGAAAAGAAUAUAGCCACACCAGUUCUCAGUCUUUUUAAUUCCAAGGCCCCCCAUUGUCCAAGACGAUAUUCAAAGCCCAUCUGCACAAUCCAGCUAUGUUGCAGUGGUCAAAAUUGUCCGAGUGAGACCUCAGAUGUGUAGUUUCACCCGAGUGAGAAAUAUGUUGUCAGUUUACAUGUUGUAGAUCUUGCAUUUAUUAACAGUUUGAAGCAUUUUAAUUAAGUUUGAUUUAAUAUAUAAGUAGUCCUGUGAAUUAGCUGAGGAGCCUGGUUGAGAAUUACUGUGCUUUACUGAGGAUCAGACUAGUUUAGUGUCGGCUUUUAUUAGGAAUCUUACUACCCCCUCCUGUUUAAAAGUUGAAUUACAUUUUCACCACCCCGCUCUUAAGUGUUUGAUGUGUGUUUGCAUUAUUUGAACUAAAAAAAAAAAAAAGCUUGUAUUGCCAUCCAGGGUUGGUCUAUUGUCAUUAUCAAAGUUGUUGACUGCUUGGAUGCUUGCGAAUGCAAUUUUUGUCAUGAAUGAAGCAUAUGUUCUAUCUUAUCCAUGACAGACUCUGCAGGUGUACUGCUGUGAGCUGACCAUUCACAAAGAUUUCUUAAUGAAGGCCAGUUUGCAUUUUCAGAAUCCAAUGAGUGUUCUUGUCCUUUUGCCUGAGUUAACCCGCAGCAGACUGCUGCUACGUCACUGCGCCAAUCUGUCAGGCUUUGCUGUUGACCCAUUGACGCAAACACAGGCCAGUCUGAGCGUAUUGAACUGGCUUUCCUUAACUGCAAGAAGAGAGACUGAUGUUGAACGAGAAAUUGUUGAGUCUGCAAGAUAGGAUACAAAAAUCUGAUACAGACAGUGUACUGGGAUGAGCUCUGGAAAUAGCUGUGAGAGUCUCAGCGACUCGCCUAUAAGCCUGAUAAAAGUGGUGGGACCAACAACACCCAGAAGAGGACCACAUACAUUCAAACUGAGAAUCACAAGGCAAUUCAAAAGCAAACCUCCCAAGAAGGGAGUCAAAGAAUUUGGAGAUGAGAUCCCAGGAAUGGAUGGUCUUAGGACUGACAUUACCGUGGUGUGUCCGUGGGAAGCCUUUAGCCAUCUGGAGUUGCACGAGCUCGCCCAGUAUGGUAUUAUUUGAACUGGACUACAGGAAGAUGCGUCACCUGGAUUUGUUUAGUGGACUAGACUAGUUCCACCUCUGGACCUGCAAAUGGACACUUGCACCAUUGCCUUGAAACAGUCACCAGCCUAUGAAUGCACAAUACAUAAUGUAGUGACUUGGAGGAA